GACGAACGCUGGCGGCGUGCUUAACACAUGCAAGUCGAACGGAAAGGCCCUGCUUCUGUGGGGUGCUCGAGUGGCGAACGGGUGAGUAACACGUGAGUAACCUGCCCUUGACUUUGGGAUAACUUCAGGAAACUGGGGCUAAUACCGGAUAGGAGCUCCUGCUGCAUGGUGGGGGUUGGAAAGUUUCGGCGGUUGGGGAUGGACUCGCGGCUUAUCAGCUUGUUGGUGGGGUAGUGGCUUACCAAGGCUUUGACGGGUAGCCGGCCUGAGAGGGUGACCGGCCACAUUGGGACUGAGAUACGGCCCAGACUCCUACGGGAGGCAGCAGUGGGGAAUAUUACACAAUGGGCGGAAGCCUGAUGCAGCAACGCCGCGUGCGGGAUGACGGCCUUCGGGUUGUAAACCGCUUUCGCCUGUGACGAAGCGUGAGUGACGGUAAUGGGUAAAGAAGCACCGGCUAACUACGUG
RNAcentral lists this ribosomal RNA (468 nucleotides) under uncultured bacterium. RNAcentral describes it as "partial 16S ribosomal RNA". It matches the Rfam family "Bacterial small subunit ribosomal RNA", at positions 28 to 507 of the family's 1533-position model. The record is from RNAcentral.